AGAGUUUGAUCCUGGCUCAGGACGAACGCUGGCGGCGUGCUUAACACAUGCAAGUGGAGCGACGAACCGGGGCUUGCCCCGGGGCAGAGCCGCGAACGGGUGAGUAACACGUGGGUCACCUGCCUCGAUGACCGGGACAACCCGAGGAAACUCGGGCUAAUACCGGAUGUGCUCUUCGGAGGAAAGGUAGCUUCGGCUUCCGCAUCGAGAUGGGCCCGCGGCGCAUUAGCUUGUUGGUGGGGUAACGGCCUACCAAGGCUACGAUGCGUAGCUGGUCUGAGAGGACGAUCAGCCACACUGGGACUGAGACACGGCCCAGACUCCUACGGGAGGCAGCAGUGGGGAAUCUUGCGCAAUGCGCGAAAGCGUGACGCAGCAACGCCGCGUGGGGGAAGAAGGCCUUCGGGUUGUAAACCUCUUUCAGUUGGGACGAGGCUUCGGCGGUGAACAGCCGCUCGGAGUGACGGUACCUUCACAAGAAGCCCCGGCUAACUACGUGCCAGCAGCCGCGGUAAUACGUAGGGGGCAAGCGUUGUCCGGAAUCAUUGGGCGUAAAGCGCGUGUAGGCGGCUCGGUAAGUCUGCUCUGAAAGUCCAAGGCUCAACCUUGGGAUGCGGGUGGAUACUGCCGAGCUCGAGUCCGGAAGAGGCGAGUGGAAUUCCUGGUGUAGCGGUGAAAUGCGCAGAUAUCAGGAGGAACACCAAUGGCGAAGGCAGCUCGCUGGGACGUGACUGACGCUGAGACGCGAAAGCGUGGGGAGCAAACAGGAUUAGAUACCCUGGUAGUCCACGCCGUAAACGAUGGGCACUAGGUGUAGGGGGUGUCGACUCCCCCUGUGCCGAAGCUAACGCAUUAAGUGCCCCGCCUGGGGAGUACGGCCGCAAGGCUAAAACUCAAAGGAAUUGACGG
This 909-nucleotide ribosomal RNA is filed under the name uncultured bacterium. RNAcentral's name for it is "bacterial SSU rRNA". It matches the Rfam family "Bacterial small subunit ribosomal RNA", at positions 8 to 916 of the family's 1533-position model. The record is from RNAcentral.